RNAcentral lists this ribosomal RNA (550 nucleotides) under uncultured bacterium. RNAcentral's name for it is "bacterial SSU rRNA". It matches the Rfam family "Bacterial small subunit ribosomal RNA", at positions 355 to 896 of the family's 1533-position model. The record is from RNAcentral.
UAGGGAAUCUUCGGCAAUGGGGGCAACCCUGACCGAGCAACGCCGCGUGAGUGAAGAAGGUUUUCGGAUCGUAAAGCUCUGUUGUAAGUCAAGAACGAGUGUGAGAGUGGAAAGUUCACACUGUGACGGUAGCUUACCAGAAAGGGACGGCUAACUACGUGCCAGCAGCCGCGGUAAUACGUAGGUCCCGAGCGUUGUCCGGAUUUAUUGGGCGUAAAGCGAGCGCAGGCGGUUUGAUAAGUCUGAAGUUAAAGGCUGUGGCUCAACCAUAGUUCGCUUUGGAAACUGUCAAACUUGAGUGCAGAAGGGGAGAGUGGAAUUCCAUGUGUAGCGGUGAAAUGCGUAGAUAUAUGGAGGAGCACCGGUGGCGGAAGCGGCUCUCUGGUCUGUAACUGACGCUGAGGCUCGAAAGCGUGGGGAGCGAACAGGAUUAGAUACCCUGGUAGUCCACGCCGUAAACGAUGAGUGCUAGGUGUUGGGUCCUUUCCGGGAUUCAGUGCCGCAGCUAACGCAUUAAGCACUCCGCCUGGGGAGUACGACCGCAAGGUUG